This is an RNA transcript of Rhinopithecus roxellana (golden snub-nosed monkey), 2288 nucleotides long. It is a transcript of the gene named carbonic anhydrase 8, with no coding region annotated. Lineage: Eukaryota; Metazoa; Chordata; Mammalia; Primates; Cercopithecidae. The transcript is spliced from 10 exons. The record is from RefSeq and is a predicted model, not a curated record.
CCGCGGCCACAGAGAGAAGGGGGCGGAUCCUCGCGUGCCAGACACGCCCCGGCCGGGUAUAAAAUUCGCCAGGCACUCGCUCCCCAGGCCACCGCGGCUCCCUCGCUCCGCUGGGGCCUCCGGACGCGCUCCCAGCGCGGGUCUCUGGAACACUCGGGCCGAACGCAAGCCCGCUUGCACUCACACUGCAGUUCACACCCGCAGGCGCGCUCGCACCCACAUUGCGGCUCACGCGCGCUCACACUCCCCCACGCGCGCUCCACUCCCUCUCCAGCCCCUAGCCCCGCGAAGGCGCAGGCACCGCCGCAGAGAGCGCCGAGGGGCCCCGCGGCCUUCCCAUGGCGGACCUGAGCUUCAUCGAAGAUACGGUCGCCUUCCCCGAGAAGGAAGAGGAUGAGGAGGAAGAGGAGGAGGGUGUGGAGUGGGGCUACGAGGAAGGUGUUGAGUGGGGUCUGGUGUUUCCUGAUGCUAAUGGGGAAUACCAGUCACCUAUUAACCUAAACUCAAGAGAGGCUAGGUAUGACCCCUCACUGCUGGAUGUCCGCCUUUCCCCAAAUUAUGUGGUCUGCCGAGACUGUGAAGUCACCAAUGAUGGACAUACCAUUCAGGUUAUCCUGAAGUCAAAAUCAGUUCUUUCGGGAGGACCAUUGCCUCAAGGGCAUGAAUUUGAACUGUAUGAAGUGAGAUUUCACUGGGGAAGAGAAAACCAGCGUGGUUCUGAGCACACGGUUAAUUUCAAAGCUUUUCCCAUGGAGCUCCAUCUGAUCCACUGGAACUCCACUCUCUUUGGCAGCAUUGACGAGGCUGUGGGGAAGCCGCACGGGAUCGCCAUCAUUGCUCUGUUUGUUCAGAUAGGAAAGGAACAUGUUGGCUUAAAGGCUGUGACUGAAAUCCUCCAGGAUAUUCAAUAUAAGGGGAAGUCCAAAACAAUACCUUGCUUUAAUCCUAACACUUUAUUACCAGACCCUCUACUGCGGGAUUACUGGGUGUAUGAAGGCUCUCUCACCAUCCCACCUUGCAGUGAAGGUGUCACCUGGAUAUUAUUCCGAUACCCUUUAACUAUAUCCCAGCUACAGAUAGAAGAAUUUCGAAGGCUGAGGACGCAUGUUAAGGGGGCAGAACUUGUAGAAGGCUGUGAUGGGAUUUUGGGAGACAACUUUCGGCCCACUCAGCCUCUUAGUGACAGAGUCAUUAGAGCUGCAUUUCAGUAGCCAAAGAGGACAGGAACAAGUCUGUCUUCAUGAGGGACAUUGCCCAGAAGGAGAUCAUUUAGAUUGUUUCCAGUUUCUUUUUGCAGAGGAAGACAGUGGUCCUAUAGUGCCCUUGGAUGAGAAAAGAAAACUUUUGAGCUGCAUCUUCAGUUUAUCCUCAAAGCCUGCGUUGUCUUCAUCUAAUCCAGCUUUGAUGGACGUCUGUGAUGGUUGCCUAUACACUUGCUGAAAUGAAAUAUUAGAAAUGGCUGUAUAUUCCAAAGAAACCCUAUAUUAUAUAUCCACGUUACUGCUGCUAUACUGUUUAUUGCUUAUGUGUAGAGAGAAUGAAACUAGUUUCCAGAGUUGUUAUUAAUCUGAAUAUAUAUCAUGUGUUAAUAUUGAGAAAGGAAAAAUACAUUCCCAGUGUUAGUAGUUCUUCAUUUCCUGUCUCCAACAGAAAAUUAACUCAUUUUAAAACUAGUAUAAUUCUUGAUAAUAAAUUAAGAGUUUUGAUUAAGAACAGCAGAGAGCUUCAAAAUGCAAAGUGAAUGAUUAGUAAAAUUAUAUCUCAUUUUAUUUUUUCAGCACCCAUACCACAAUUAACGUUAGGCUGGAUUGCCAUGGGAAACAUUUUUUUGGUGUUAAUGCAGCAACAUAAUACUCACUUUAUGUAUUACUACAUAGUUAAAGGAUUUAACUGAAUGUAUGAAUCAAAUUAUAUUUAUUUGACCUAUUCGAAGCUGUGGUUUAUAGGAAUUUGAGAAAGGUAUAAGAAAUAGGAUAAAAAGAAGGUCACCACCAUGUACCAGGAAUAGCUUUACUUUCCAUAAAUAGAAAUAUAAAUUUAAUGGUAUCAUAUAUUACUUUAGUGUUGUAUACUUUGUAAGACUUAAAAAUAUUUUCUUCUAUUGAUUCCACUUCUUUGGUAUGUUAAGACGUUUCUUUAAAGAUGACCAACAAUAUCCUUAUUUUAGGUGCUACUAGCAAAUGUAAGCAUAUACUUAGUUGCAGUUAGAUGUGACAGAAUGAGAUGAUUUAUGUAAAGUAGUAGAGUGCCUGGCACAAAGCAAACAAUAAAUGUUAUUGUUGUUAUAA